Molecule: long non-coding RNA, 4226 nt
Organism: Triticum aestivum (bread wheat)
Lineage: Eukaryota; Viridiplantae; Streptophyta; Magnoliopsida; Poales; Poaceae
Exons: 8
Source: RefSeq, a predicted model, not a curated record
UACACCCUCCCUGGCGCUAGCACGCGUUCCCCUUUCUCCCUCCUCGCACGCAACCUCCUCGUCUCCAGCGCUCUCGCCUCUGCUCCACCACCCCGCGCCGCCACAUCCCACACGCCGACGUCGGCCUCGCCGCAGAAAACCGCCCGCACCACCGGCGACGGAUCCCUCCUCCCUCGAAGCCGCGAGAAGAGGAGCCCCACCCGGACGACUUCCCCCCGUCCCCCGUGGAUGGUUCUGCUUCCAUUGAGACGCCCAGGCAUGACAGAUCUUGCUCGUCGUCAGCCCAGGGCCGGGUCGGCCGGAGCAGUCGGAGAGGAGUGGCGGAUGUGCGUCCGCUUAGAUGCCGCCGGUCAGAGAAGGCGGGGAUGAGCGGAUUGCAGCGAGGGAGGCGGCUCGGCUCGGACUGUCCAUGGCGCUAGCGCGAUGGCUCGCCUCCUCUUUCGGCAUGGCUAUUGUUUUGGUCCGCGCCGUUUCUGCCUCGACGGACAUUGUCGUAGUAGGUGCAGAUGAGGGACGAGCCGCUAGCGACGGAUCCCGCGAGGCCAACCUCCAGCGCCCCUUCUCCGGCCGGCCUCGAACGACCUUGUCCCGCCGGAGCUAGGUGGGUCGAUGACCCGCUGGAUGGGAGCCGGCAUGUCCAGCUACCACCUCUGGUGCCCCGUCGCGCACCUGCCCGCCGCCAGGGGCCCGAGGGCCAAGUUGCGGGGUUGUGCGGUCGCGCUGCUCAUCCCCCGUCCGCUCGAGGAAGCAUCUCGCCGGGGUUGGGGUCAAUCUCGGGCAGUCCUGAGGAGGAGAGCGGGCGGCCUCCAUCAGUCCUCUCCGGUGAGGCCUUUGACAAGAGGGGCCAAGAUGCUACCAAGUGCCAUUUGCUUCAGUGCAUUUUGUUUGAUGAAUCUGUUCAUGAAGGAAUCUGCGGUCCUAACAAAGAAGAUGGAAAGAGUACUCCUGGAAAGUGAAAAAGAGAAGGAAACAACAAUCUUGCAAAAGAUUAAACAAAGAAUAGUUUGCUCACAAAAUUUUCCAUGAGUGAGAUUGCUUCUCUUCACACAUAUAAUCUGACUCGUGGAAAGUUUUGUGAGCAAGCUGUUAAUAUUUACAUAGUACAUAUAUUAGUUACGUCUUGUGACCAUGAGGUCAUGGGUUCAAGUCCUGGAAACAGCCUCUUACAGAAAUGUAGGGAAAGGCUGCGUACUAUAGACCCAAAGUGGUCGGACCCUUCCCUAGACCCUGCGCAAGCGGGAGCUACAUGCACCAGGUUGCCCUUUUUUUUAACGAUAUAUGUGUGAAGAGAAGCAUUGCCGCUCAUGGAAAGAGUACUUCUGUUAUGCUGCUACAUGUUUACAUGCAUAUAUUAGUUUCUUAGGUCAUGCACAUUUAUUAGAAAAAAUUAUCUCCUUCCGGCUAUUAAGCUUGGAAUAACAUCAAAAGAUAGUUAAAAUGCAAUAGAUUUCCUUAUUAUUCAUGGCACAUUGGGUUCAGAUAAUAUUUGCUUUGUUUUACUCGCUCCAAAUUUAAUUAUCACAAUUCCUUAUUAAGCUAAAUAGCUAAUUAUGUCGAUCUGAUCUGAUCUGAUUCAUUUAUCCAAGUAAAGAGUGCAUGCUCAUGUUUCCACUCAUCAAGGUAAAGAAUAAGUUCCGUAGACACACUGAAAUCAAUUUUAGAGGCUGUAAGUAGGCAGAAGAUCCACUCAUGUUCUGAUCUAUCAUGAUUGUGGUUGAAAGUUGUGUUCAACUGAAAUUAUGCAUCAAAUCCCCUCACACAAUUGUUUUCUGCAUGUUAUGUGUUUGAUGAGAUUCCUCCAAGCCAGCUGUUCAGUGAGCCCCCCUAAUUCAGUUGUUUCGGUUGGUUAGAAAUUGCCUGUGAUUCACUUAUCGAUCAAUUAAUUAGAUUGAUUUUUUAGUAUGUUCAUUCGGCUUAUUCAAAUAAUCACAUUCACAGGUUUAGUUUGGUUUGGUUACCCAUAUAUACUCCGUAUUUCUUUUAGUCCUGUUCGUGUUGAGAAUUUCUGAAAUCAAAUGUACAAUUCGCGUAGUUAAAAGGUAUCAAAGUGAUGUUUGUAUGCAUAGUUCCUGCCUAGCUAGAAAAAUGUGACUGCAAAUUUUGUCAAUCAUUUAUAGUUCCUGCCUGUUUUCCGAACUUUUUCUAGGAGGGAAUAACAGUAGGACAUGCAUGUGUUAUUUUCCAAGACUUGUUCGAGAUAAAGACCCAAUGAGUCAUCGGAUACUUCCCCUGUCUCUGCAGCAGCAAAUGAUUGUUCAGAGUGAGAGUUUGUCUGAAAAUUGUUCAGAAUGAGGCUCUAGCAUGCUGCACACGGUGUAGACCAAAGGAAAACCUACCAUGAAACAACUUAUUUCAUUCCCUCGGAGCAAGAGCAAAUUUAACAAGGCAAUACAACAAAACGUGGAGCAGCUAAUGGACAUCCAAUCAGCUCUCAAGGCAUUCGAGGAGGUACUGCUCUUUGAUUGAACAACAUGAUCACUUUUUUUAUUGAGGGAAGCAUGCUCACAUGGAGGCGCCCAGAAGUUGUGUGUGGGCAUGUAUGACGUUGGCAUAGUCAUAUGCUGAUUUUCUGAGAUAUCAUCGUAUCCUUGACUUUCAACAUCAGUUGUAAAUAAGUCGAGAAGCUGUAUCUAUAGCACCGGUGUUAUUUAUCCCUUGCAUCAAAAUGUAGAAUUUUCUCACUAGAUUUGCACAACAUAGAUAUACUGUAUAUAUUUUCUCAAGUAUUUGCUAUGACCAGAUCUUAAGAAAUGGUGUGCAUAUUAAGGCCUAAAACUUUUAUUUGCAUUUACUUCCUUGGUUACUGCAAUAGAUCACCUGAACUGACAAAAUAGUGGGUUAGCAUGCUUUGAAAAGAACAACACUUGAGCAUAUGUAGCCAUGUAGGUCAACGAAGUUGCUUUCUUGAUACUUUUAGAUACGUGCUACCACAUGCAUGCUGGAUUUGUGCUCUAUCCAGAUUGAGUGCCUGACAUAUUUUGUUUUCCACUUCGAGCUUCUGUUACAAUGAGGAACAAUGGAUAUAUCGAAUAAAAAAUGUAACCAGCUUUCCCCGGGUGAAGAAUCCUCUACUAAUAACGAGCCUCAGGUACAUCCUACUCAGGAUGGCCUAGGAAAAUGUGCACCACUUUUGGCAGAGGUUCUGAACCAAGACAAAAAUGAUGGGCAUUUUAGAAGGGCAUUUCAGGUUCAUUGAAAAAGUUUUUAGUAAACCCUAAUUGGUUUCAGAGGGGACUGGGGGUUCUGUCAUCCCCAUUUCAGGUUUCUGAUGAAAGAGUAAACAUGAUGCAACACUCUAAUGCAUGACUAGCUAGGGUGUGACAACAUACCAGGUCAGUGACUGACAUAUCAUCUAUUUCACCUUUCAUAUGCAUCCUCUUCUUCCUCGUCCCCCUUUUCAGGGCGAUCAGAAGGGCAAGAUCAGCAUUUUUAUAUUUUCCAUUACAGUUGGUCAUAAAUUUUUUACUUUGUUUUGCCAGGAGAGUUGUGCUUCAUGUAGCUAUUACAGCAGGAUAAUUGUAUGCUUGAAGAAGAGGUUAUACCAACCGAGGCCAAGUGCACUGAACUUACCCAUGCCUCGUUUGGGGCUCAAAUGUGGAGACCUCUCCUCUAGGGGACAACAUCACAAUGUAUUUUCAUAGAAUACUUAUGCUUGGCAAGAAAGGCGGUAGCUGACGAAAGGAGGACACCACCAAGAUGAGUGAGACCGCGCCAACAGACUCAGGAUGGAAAGCAGCGAGCAGCGGCGCAUAAUCCACAGAAGCAGCCAGCAUGGGGCUAAGCCCGCCGUUCCUCCGCGUCGAUGAACAAAAGGACCUAAGAUAGCUGAGGUGCGCUCCUGCAAGAGAUGAGGGAGCAACUGGUGGUCCGGAUAGCGAAGAUCAGGUCAACGUCGGCUGCUUUGUUGUGCCAUUGCCACACUUUGGCUGGAAAAUGCUCGGACGGCCAUGGCGCCGGUGCCACUUCUUCAUCUUCUCUGGAGCCACACCAUUUCUGCGGGAUAAGCGAGUUGGAGGAAGAUGGGAGAGAUGAGUCGGUUACUCACUGAUAGAAAAUCAUUUUGGCAGAACCUCCUUUUCACGAGAGAUGAUUGAUUGUUCCUCCGCCUUCACUUUUGUGCCCAAAGCCCCGUGUGUUGCUUGUGAACCACUGUUGUUUAGGUCGUCGGUCAUGUAAACUAUAAGGACAUAUUAAUAUAAUAUGACUCCUAAGCCACUUCCUUUUAA